This 508-nucleotide ribosomal RNA is filed under the name uncultured bacterium. RNAcentral's name for it is "partial 16S ribosomal RNA". It matches the Rfam family "Bacterial small subunit ribosomal RNA", at positions 28 to 523 of the family's 1533-position model. The record is from RNAcentral.
GAUGAACGCUAGCUACAGGCUUAACACAUGCAAGUCGAGGGGAAACGAUAUUGGAAGCUUGCUUCCGAUAGGCGUCGACCGGCGCACGGGUGAGUAACGCGUAUCCAACCUGCCCAUCACUUGGGGAUAACCUUGCGAAAGUAAGACUAAUACCCAAUGAUAUCUCUAGAAGACAUCUGAAGGAGAUUAAAGAUUUAUCGGUGAUGGAUGGGGAUGCGUCUGAUUAGCUUGUUGGCGGGGUAACGGCGCACCAAGGCUACGAUCAGUAGGGGUUCUCAGAGGAAGUUGCGCCACAUAGGAAAUGAGACACGGUCCAAACUCCUGCGGGAGGCAGCAGUGAAGAAUAUUGGUCAAUGGACGUGAGUCUGAACCAGCCAAGUAGCGUGCAGGAUGACGGCCCUAUGGGUUGUAAACUGCUUUUAUAAGGGAAUAAAGUGAGUCUCGUGAGACUUUUUGCAUGUACCUUAUGAAUAAGGACCGGCUAAUUCCGUGCCAGCAGCCGCAGUAA